This 501-nucleotide ribosomal RNA is filed under the name uncultured bacterium. RNAcentral describes it as "partial 16S ribosomal RNA". It matches the Rfam family "Bacterial small subunit ribosomal RNA", at positions 30 to 523 of the family's 1533-position model. The record is from RNAcentral.
AUUGAACGCUGGCGGCAGGCUUAACACAUGCAAGUCGAGCGGGGGAGGUUGCUUCGGUAACUGACCUAGCGGCGGACGGGUGAGUAAUGCUUAGGAAUCUGCCUAUUAGUGGGGGACGACGUUCCGAAAGGAACGCUAAUACCGCAUACGCCCUACGGGGGAAAGCAGGGGAUCUUCGGACCUUGCGCCAAUAGAUGAGCCUAAGUCGGAUUAGCUAGUUGGGGGGGUAAAGGCCUACCAAGGCGACGAUCUGUAGCGGGUCUGAGAGGAUGAUCCGCCACACUGGGACUGAGACACGGCCCAGACUCCUACGGGAGGCAGCAGUGGGGAAUAUUGGACAAUGGGCGGAAGCCUGAUCCAGCCAUGCCGCGUGUGUGAAGAAGGCCUUUUGGUUGUAAAGCACUUUAAGCGAGGAGGAGGCUCCUUUAGUUAAUACCUAAAGAGAGUGGACGUUACUCGCAGAAUAAGCACCGGCUAACUCUGUGCCAGCCGCCGCGGUAA